RNAcentral lists this ribosomal RNA (253 nucleotides) under uncultured bacterium. RNAcentral's name for it is "partial 16S ribosomal RNA". It matches the Rfam family "Bacterial small subunit ribosomal RNA", at positions 524 to 776 of the family's 1533-position model. The record is from RNAcentral.
UACGGAGGGAGCUAGCGUUGUUCGGAAUCACUGGGCGUAAAGCGCACGUAGGCGGCUUUGCAAGCUAGAGGUGAAAGCCCGGGGCUCAACUCCGGAACUGCCUUUAAGACUGCAUCGCUUGAAUCCGGGAGAGGUGAGUGGAAUUCCGAGUGUAGAGGUGAAAUUCGUAGAUAUUCGGAAGAACACCAGUGGCGAAGGCGGCUCACUGGACCGGUAUUGACGCUGAGGUGCGAAAGCGUGGGGAGCAAACAGG